Molecule: ribosomal RNA, 305 nt
Filed under: uncultured Candidatus Saccharibacteria bacterium
Lineage: Bacteria; Candidatus Saccharimonadota
Description: bacterial SSU rRNA
Rfam family: Bacterial small subunit ribosomal RNA
Source: RNAcentral
GAUGAACGCUGGCGGCGUGCCUAAUACAUGCAAGUCGAGCGGUAAGGCCCCUUCGGGGGUACACGAGCGGCGGACGGCUGAGUAACACGUAGGAACGUACCCCAAAGUGAGGGAUAAGCACCAGAAAUGGUGUCUAAUACCGCAUGUGAUCCAAGGAUUAAAGCUCCGGCGCUUUGGGAACGGCCUGCGUAAGAUUAGCUAGAUGGUGAGGUAAUGGCUCACCAUGGCGACGAUCUUUAGCUGGUCUGAGAGGAUGACCAGCCAGACUGGGACUGAGACACGGCCCAGACUCCUACGGGAGGCAG